RNAcentral lists this ribosomal RNA (226 nucleotides) under uncultured Lactobacillus sp. Its description in RNAcentral is "partial 16S ribosomal RNA". It matches the Rfam family "Bacterial small subunit ribosomal RNA", at positions 137 to 355 of the family's 1533-position model. Lineage: Bacteria; Bacillati; Bacillota; Bacilli; Lactobacillales; Lactobacillaceae. The record is from RNAcentral.
AUCGGGAUAACACCUGGAAACAAGAUGCUAAUACCGGAUAACAACAGAUGAUGCCUAUCAACUGUUUAAAAGAUGGUUCUGCUAUCACUCUUGGAUGGACCUGCGGUGCAUUAGCUAGUUGGUAGGGUAACGGCCUACCAAGGCGAUGAUGCAUAGCCGAGUUGAGAGACUGAUCGGCCACAUUGGGACUGAGACACGGCCCAAACUCCUACGGGAGGCAGCAGCU